RNAcentral lists this unclassified non-coding RNA (278 nucleotides) under Hevea brasiliensis (rubber tree). The record is from RNAcentral. Lineage: Eukaryota; Viridiplantae; Streptophyta; Magnoliopsida; Malpighiales; Euphorbiaceae.
AACUUCAUGAUCUGUUGUUCCCUGGAACAAAUUAAAGCAGAGAUCCAAUGAAGAACGGAUGAAUGAAUAAAGAUACGAAAUUGUAAAUCAUACAAAUCACAGAUCAUCAACAGUUCAGAAUAAAUCAGGAAUGAAUCGAAGCUUGCCCAUGCAUGAUGCUAGAGCAAUCAAAGAUAUAAGCACAAUUUGUAACGGUCUAGUUUUUCAAGGACAACAUACUUUACCAUGCAACUCAACUUAAUUCAACUCAACUCAGACUUUAUCCAAAAAAUUUGGGG